RNAcentral lists this ribosomal RNA (707 nucleotides) under uncultured Glomeromycotina. RNAcentral describes it as "eukaryotic LSU rRNA". It matches the Rfam family "Eukaryotic large subunit ribosomal RNA", at positions 58 to 632 of the family's 3401-position model. The record is from RNAcentral. Lineage: Eukaryota; Fungi; Glomeromycota.
AAAGAAAAUAACAAUGAUUCCCCUAGUAACUGCGAGUGAAGAGGGACAAGCUCAAAUUUUAAAUCUAUCGGGUUUUACCCGAUCGAGUUGUAAUUUGAAGAAGCGUUUUCUGCGUUUUUGGUCAGCCUAAGUCCUAUUGAAUGAGGCAUCAUGGAGGGUGAUAAUCCCGUCCGGUUGAUCAUUUGCGUUUUACGAUACGCUCUCUAAGAGUCAAGUUGUUUGGGAUUGCAGCUUAAAAUGGGAGGUAAAUUUCUCCUAAGGCUAAAUAACGGCGAGAGACCGAUAGCGAACAAGUACCGUGAGGGAAAGAUGAAAAGAACCUUGAAAAGAGAGUUAAACAGUACGUGAAAUUGUUGAAAGGGAAACGAUUGAAGCCAGUCGUACCUUCGGGUAAUCAGCCUUUCGGGUGCGAUUCUGUGGAGUGUGAGGAGCUUAACACCUUCAUGCUUUGCAUAUUUGUGCUCUUGGGUGUACUUGCCCGUGUGGUUGGUUAACAUCAAUUUUGAUUAUCAUAAAAUGACUGGAGGAAUGUAGCUUCGAUCUCGUAUUGAAGUGUUAUAGCCUUCGGUAGAUGUGAUGAUCGAGAUUGAGGAUUGCAACGGAUACCCUUCGGGGCCACCUGUCUGGUCUCUGAUCGUUGCUCUGGUGCCGAAAGCGUGCUUACGGUUAUCAAAGUCGAUGGUCAAUAGGUUAGAACGGGUUAAAUU